UCCUCGUUAGUAUAGUGGUCAGUAUCCCCCCGCUGUCACGCGGGAGACCAGGGUUUCGAUUCCCCGACGGGGAG
This 74-nucleotide transfer RNA is filed under the name Ixodes scapularis (black-legged tick). RNAcentral's name for it is "tRNA-Undet for anticodon ???". The record is from RNAcentral. Lineage: Eukaryota; Metazoa; Arthropoda; Arachnida; Ixodida; Ixodidae.